Small nuclear RNA from Microtus ochrogaster (prairie vole), 107 nucleotides. The record is from Ensembl. Lineage: Eukaryota; Metazoa; Chordata; Mammalia; Rodentia; Cricetidae.
GUGCUCGCUUUAGCAGCACAUAUAUUAAAGUUGGAAUGAUACAGAGACAAUUAUCAUGGCCUCUUUGCAGGGACGAUGCAUAAAUCUGUGAUGCCUUCCAUAUUUUU